RNAcentral lists this ribosomal RNA (492 nucleotides) under uncultured bacterium. RNAcentral describes it as "partial 16S ribosomal RNA". It matches the Rfam family "Bacterial small subunit ribosomal RNA", at positions 29 to 507 of the family's 1533-position model. The record is from RNAcentral.
AGUGAACGCUGGCGGUAGGCCUAACACAUGCCAGUCGAACGGCAGCACAGUAAGAGCCUGCUCUUACGGGUGGCGAGUGGCGGACGGGUGAGGAAUACACCGGAAUCUACUUUUUCGUGGGGGAUAACGUAGGGAAACUUACGCUAAUACCGCAUACGACCUACGGGUGAAAGCAGGGGAUCUUCGGACCUUGCGCGAUUGAAUGAGCCGAUGUCGGAUUAGCUAGUUGGCGGGGUAAAGGCCAACCAAGGCGACGAUCCGUAGCUGGUCUGAGAGGAUGAUCAGCCACACUGGAACUGAGACACGGUCCAGACUCCUACGGGAGGCAGCAGUGGGGAAUAUUGGACAAUGGGCGCAAGCCUGAUCCAGCAAUACCGCGUGGGUGAAGAAGGCCUUCGGGUUGUAAAGCCCUUUUGUUGGGAAAGAAAAGCAGCAGGUUAAUACCCCGCUGUUCUGACGGUACCCAAAGAAUAAGCACCGGCUAACUUCGUG